Molecule: ribosomal RNA, 357 nt
Filed under: Rhizamoeba australiensis
Lineage: Eukaryota; Tubulinea; Elardia; Leptomyxida; Flabellulidae
Description: bacterial SSU rRNA
Rfam family: Eukaryotic small subunit ribosomal RNA
Source: RNAcentral
AUAGUGUAUAUUAAAGUUGCUGCAGUUAAAAAGCUCGUAGUUGGAUUUCGGAUAGUAAAAAUUUAACAUCCAUCUCUAAGAUGUGAUUUAAUUUUUACUUCCUUCCUUUUGAAUACACUCCUUAAAAUUUAUUUUAAGGAACUCAGUGUUUCAAAUCGUUUACUGUGAAGAAAUUAGAGUGUUCAAAGCAGGCGUAACCUAGCCUUUGAAUAUAUUAGCAUGGGAUAAUGAAAUAGGACUUUAGUCCUACUUUCGUUGGUUUCUAGGGCUGAAGUAAUGAUUAAUAGGGAUAGUUGGGGUCACUAGUAUUUAAUUGUCAGAGGUGAAAUUCUAAGAUUUAUUAAAGACUAACAACUG